CUAUUACCAUUCAGUAGAUCAGAGAAUAAGACAGGGAAAGAGAAGCAUAGGAUUUGAGUUGAAAACAAAAACAGUAAAUAUGCGUGCUACUUCUUCCCAGAUUGAGUAUAUCCCUGGUUGAUUCUGCUGAGACAUUUAAUUAAAAAAA
Molecule: long non-coding RNA, 148 nt
Organism: Sapajus apella (tufted capuchin)
Lineage: Eukaryota; Metazoa; Chordata; Mammalia; Primates; Cebidae
Exons: 2
Source: RefSeq, a predicted model, not a curated record